UAGAUGCGAGAGUAGAGCAUAUCAAUAAGCGGAGGAAAAGAAACUAACUAGGAUUCCCUCAGUAACGGCGAGUGAAGCGGGAAGAGCUCAAAUUUGAAAUCUUCAAGGUUCUACCUUGACGAAUUGUAGUUUAUAGAAGUGUUUUCGGUUAGGAGUUUAGUAAAAGUUCUUUGGAAUAGGACAUCAUAGAGGGUGAGAAUCCCGUAUUUGACCUAUUAUUUCCUAGCUUUGUGAUACACUUUCAAAGAGUCGGAUUGUUUGGGAAUGCAGUCCAAAAUGGGUGGUAAAUUUCAUCUAAAGCUAAAUACUGGCGAGAGACCGAUAGCGAACAAGUACCGUGAGGGAAAGAUGAAAAGAACUUGAAAAGAGAGUUAAACAGUACGUGAAAUUGUCAAAAGGGGAAGCGUUUGACACCAGUGUUGUUUCGUCGAAAAUCAAUUAAAUAAUGUCCUGAUUUUGAUGUUAGUAUUGACUUUAUCAGCUUGCUGCACUUUUUUCUUGUCUUUUUUAAUGCACUUUUCGUUUAACAAGUCAACAUCAAUUUCUUUUGUUGUAAGAGAGUCAUUGGAAGGUGGCUUUCAUUUCGGUGAAAGUGUUUAUAGCCUUUGACUUCUGCAAUCGGAGAGAUUGAGGUCUGCAGCGUAGAUCCUUCGGGGUUAGAUGCAUUUGUGCUAAGUUAUAGUUUUUCAUAGACAACAUGUUGACUAUGAUUAAUCAUGUAGCUUACUCGCUUAUGCUAUUUUACCUACGCUUAGGAUGUUGACGCGCGUGUGUGCGUG
RNAcentral lists this ribosomal RNA (779 nucleotides) under uncultured Neocallimastigales. Its description in RNAcentral is "partial large subunit ribosomal RNA". It matches the Rfam family "Eukaryotic large subunit ribosomal RNA", at positions 22 to 634 of the family's 3401-position model. The record is from RNAcentral. Lineage: Eukaryota; Fungi; Neocallimastigomycota; Neocallimastigomycetes; Neocallimastigales.